CAAGUCGAGCGAACUGAUUAGAAGCUUGCUUCUAUGACGUUAGCGGCGGACGGGUGAGUAACACGUGGGCAACCUGCCUGUAAGACUGGGAUAACUCCGGGAAACCGGAGCUAAUACCGGAUAACAUUUUUUCUUGCAUAAGAGAAAAUUGAAAGAUGGUUUCGGCUAUCACUUACAGAUGGGCCCGCGGUGCAUUAGCUAGUUGGUGAGGUAACGGCUCACCAAGGCAACGAUGCAUAGCCGACCUGAGAGGGUGAUCGGCCACACUGGGACUGAGACACGGCCCAGACUCCUACGGGAGGCAGCAGUAGGGAAUCUUCCGCAAUGGACGAAAGUCUGACGGAGCAACGCCGCGUGAGUGAUGAAGGCUUUCGGGUCGUAAAACUCUGUUGUUAGGGAAGAACAAGUACAAGAGUAACUGCUUGUACCUUGACGGUACCUAACCAGAAAGCCACGGCUAACUACGUGCCAGCAGCCGCGGUAAUACGUAGGUGGCAAGCGUUAUCCGGAAUUAUUGGGCGUAAAGCGCGCGCAGGCGGUUUCUUAAGUCUGAUGUGAAAGCCCACGGCUCAACCGUGGAGGGUCAUUGGAAACUGGGGAACUUGAGUGCAGAAGAGAAAAGCGGAAUUCCACGUGUAGCGGUGAAAUGCGUAGAGAUGUGGAGGAACAC
RNAcentral lists this ribosomal RNA (670 nucleotides) under Priestia flexa. Its description in RNAcentral is "bacterial SSU rRNA". It matches the Rfam family "Bacterial small subunit ribosomal RNA", at positions 58 to 709 of the family's 1533-position model. Lineage: Bacteria; Bacillati; Bacillota; Bacilli; Caryophanales; Bacillaceae. The record is from RNAcentral.